This 400-nucleotide ribosomal RNA is filed under the name Salmonella enterica subsp. enterica serovar Oranienburg. Its description in RNAcentral is "bacterial LSU rRNA". It matches the Rfam family "Bacterial large subunit ribosomal RNA", at positions 1 to 431 of the family's 2925-position model. RNAcentral also lists the same sequence under 1 other name. The record is from RNAcentral. Lineage: Bacteria; Pseudomonadati; Pseudomonadota; Gammaproteobacteria; Enterobacterales; Enterobacteriaceae.
GGGUUGUGAGGUUAAGCGACUAAGCGUACACGGUGGAUGCCCUGGCAGUCAGAGGCGAUGAAGGACGUGCUAAUCUGCGAUAAGCGCCGGUAAGGUGAUAUGAACCGUUAUAACCGGCGAUUUCCGAAUGGGGAAACCCAGUGUGACUCGUCACACUAUCAUUAACUGAAUCCAUAGGUUAAUGAGGCGAACCGGGGGAACUGAAACAUCUAAGUACCCCGAGGAAAAGAAAUCAACCGAGAUUCCCCCAGUAGCGGCGAGCGAACGGGGAGGAGCCCAGAGCCUGAAUCAGCAUGUGUGUUAGUGGAAGCGUCUGGAAAGGCGCGCGAUACAGGGUGACAGCCCCGUACACAAAAGCGCAUGUGCUGUGAGCUCGAUGAGUAGGGCGGGACACGUGGUA